AAAUGUACUGCCGUGCCGCUGGUCGCGU
RNAcentral lists this small RNA (28 nucleotides) under Bombyx mori (domestic silkworm). RNAcentral's name for it is "ovarian small RNA-10172". The record is from RNAcentral. Lineage: Eukaryota; Metazoa; Arthropoda; Insecta; Lepidoptera; Bombycidae.